Pipra filicauda (Wire-tailed manakin) is the source of this 304-nucleotide long non-coding RNA. RefSeq lists it as uncharacterized. NCBI's taxonomy places the organism in Eukaryota, Metazoa, Chordata, Aves, Passeriformes, Pipridae. The transcript has 2 exons. The record is from RefSeq and is a predicted model, not a curated record.
GUAAUGCCCGUGCCACAGGCUCUCCCGAAGGUCCCCAGGAAUUCCAGCACCUGGAGGAGGCCAGGGAACUCUGCUCAACACCCCACGCUGUCCCUCGAGCUGUGGCUGUGACCCUGAGACCCAGCACGCUGAUGUUCUUACUGCACAGACAGCAUCACAUCUCCUGGAGACAAAAAUUUAGGGGUUCUACGGUCAAGUUUCUGUUAUACAAGCGACAGAUUUCAUUCAGUCUUGGUAAUUUUGCAUCCAGCUGCCAUCAGAAGGGAAAUAAAGCCUGAACUGAUGCACAAAAAGACAAGUCAAU